This 73-nucleotide transfer RNA is filed under the name Caudoviricetes sp. Its description in RNAcentral is "tRNA-Asn". It matches the Rfam family "tRNA". From Rfam's summary of the family: Transfer RNA (tRNA) molecules are approximately 80 nucleotides in length. Their secondary structure includes four short double-helical elements and three loops (D, anti-codon, and T loops). The record is from RNAcentral. Lineage: Duplodnaviria; Heunggongvirae; Uroviricota; Caudoviricetes.
UCCUGAAUAGCUCAGUUGGUAGAGCGUGUGACUGUUAAUCACAAUGUCGUAGGUUCGAUCCCUACUUCAGGAG